GCUGUCGGAGAUGGUAAAUAUUAUGUUGAAAAGCUGGAAAAGAAGCUGGAAAAGGCAAAAGUGGAAUUGAUGAAGGUUCUUGCGGACCGCAAGUAUCCUUUAUGGUCGAUUUUCUGGCGCCUUCCCUAAUGUAUUUGGAACUGUUUAGAAUAUUUUGGUUUCUUUAACAGUAGUUUACAGCAAGCUUAUUGAACAUUGUGUGGUGGAGCUACGGAAACUGAGAGUAAACCUUUAGACAUGUAAUGAUUUUUCCUCUCUCCUAGGAAAAAAAGAUAUAUAAAAUCAGGCAGUUAGCAAGACAGUCUACAAUUUUACAUCCCAAUAAUUAGAAGUGAUGCCACUUAUACUAACCCCUGCCUCUACUUUUCUUGCUAUGAGUAGUCCAUUUUUGCAUCUGAAUUCGUGCUGAACUACUUUUAACUGUAAGAAAAAGAAGAGUGUAAAUAGAUUUGUGAAUUGAAGCGAAUACUAAUAGAUACUACGAAUUAAGACAUCAAAUUAUGCCAACCUCUUACACUUAACUUACCAUGUCUUUACCUGAAUUAAGCUCCUGUGUCAAUUAAAACACAACACUAGUUUAAUUGAGGUGAAGAUAAUUUUCAAACAACAAAAAUUCAACUAUAAAGCAUUAGCAAUUUAGCAUCUAAAAAUGUACCGCCAGCAUUUGGUUGUUCGCUUGAGUGGGUUGAGAGUUCUGUAACAGCACUUUCUGAAGGUUUACUCUCAGUUUCCGUAGCUC
Long non-coding RNA from Morus notabilis, 739 nucleotides. RefSeq lists it as uncharacterized. The record is from RefSeq and is a predicted model, not a curated record. The transcript has 3 exons. NCBI's taxonomy places the organism in Eukaryota, Viridiplantae, Streptophyta, Magnoliopsida, Rosales, Moraceae.